GCUGAGGUCUAUCGGGAUGGGGCUUUGCUAUAGAUGCACAUCACUGCAAACACCUUGGAGAGUAAAAUCGUGAUUUGCUUUACUCACAGAGCUUAGUUGUUAGAACUGAGGGAAAGAACUACAAGACCGCU
Molecule: small nucleolar RNA, 131 nt
Organism: Talpa occidentalis (Iberian mole)
Lineage: Eukaryota; Metazoa; Chordata; Mammalia; Eulipotyphla; Talpidae
Source: RefSeq, a predicted model, not a curated record